AAGAAAGUGACAGAGCGGUUAUGUGGCUGACUUGAAAUUAGUUUACGGGGGUUCAAUUCCUUCCUUUCUCG
Molecule: transfer RNA, 71 nt
Filed under: Phenacogrammus interruptus (Congo tetra)
Lineage: Eukaryota; Metazoa; Chordata; Actinopteri; Characiformes; Alestidae
Description: tRNA-Ser
Rfam family: tRNA
About the family: Transfer RNA (tRNA) molecules are approximately 80 nucleotides in length. Their secondary structure includes four short double-helical elements and three loops (D, anti-codon, and T loops). Further hydrogen bonds mediate the characteristic L-shaped molecular structure. tRNAs have two regions of fundamental functional importance: the anti-codon, which is responsible for specific mRNA codon recognition, and the 3' end, to which the tRNAs corresponding amino acid is attached (by aminoacyl-tRNA synthetases). tRNAs cope with the degeneracy of the genetic code in two manners: having more than one tRNA (with a specific anti-codon) for a particular amino acid; and 'wobble' base-pairing, i.e. permitting non-standard base-pairing at the 3rd anti-codon position.
Source: RNAcentral